GCGAGGCCGAAAGGCGUAGUCGAUGGGAAACAGGUUAAUAUUCCUGUACUUGGUGUUACUGCGAAGGGGGGACGGAGAAGGCUAUGUUAGCCGGGCGACGGUUGUCCCGGUUUAAGCAUGUAGGCUGGUUAUCCAGGCAAAUCCGGAUAAUCAAGGCUGAGGUGUGAUGACGAGGCACUACGGUGCUGAAGUAACAAAUGCCCUGCUUCCAGGAAAAGCCUCUAAGCAUCAGGUAACAUCAAAUCGUACCCCAAACCGACACAGGUGGUCAGGUAGAGAAUACCAAGGCGCUUGAGAGAAC
This 301-nucleotide ribosomal RNA is filed under the name Klebsiella pneumoniae. RNAcentral's name for it is "bacterial LSU rRNA". It matches the Rfam family "Bacterial large subunit ribosomal RNA", at positions 1396 to 1699 of the family's 2925-position model. The record is from RNAcentral. Lineage: Bacteria; Pseudomonadati; Pseudomonadota; Gammaproteobacteria; Enterobacterales; Enterobacteriaceae.